This 253-nucleotide ribosomal RNA is filed under the name uncultured bacterium. RNAcentral describes it as "partial 16S ribosomal RNA". It matches the Rfam family "Bacterial small subunit ribosomal RNA", at positions 524 to 776 of the family's 1533-position model. The record is from RNAcentral.
UACGUAGGGGGCAAGCGUUGUCCGGAUUUAUUGGGCGUAAAGAGCGUGUAGGCGGCCAGGUAGGUGGGUUGUGAAAACUGGAGGCUCAACCUUCAGAGGUCGACCGAAACCCCCUGGCUAGAGUCCGGGAGAGGAGAGUGGAAUUCCUGGUGUAGCGGUGAAAUGCGCAGAUAUCAGGAAGAACACCCGUGGCGAAAGCGGCUCUCUGGAACGGUACUGACGCUGAGACGCGAAAGCGUGGGGAGCGAACAGG